This 373-nucleotide ribosomal RNA is filed under the name uncultured organism. Its description in RNAcentral is "partial 16S ribosomal RNA". It matches the Rfam family "Bacterial small subunit ribosomal RNA", at positions 527 to 896 of the family's 1533-position model. The record is from RNAcentral.
GUAGGUGGCAAGCGUUGUCCGGAAUUAUUGGGCGUAAAGCGCGCGCAGGCGGUUCUUUAAGUCUGAUGUGAGAGCCCACGGCUCAACCGUGGAGGGUCAUUGGAAACUGGAGAACUUGAGUACAGAAGAGGAAAGCGGAAUUCCACGUGUAGCGGUGAAAUGCGUAGAGAUGUGGAGGAACACCAGUGGCGAAGGCGGCUUUCUGGUCUGUAACUGACGCUGAGGCGCGAAAGCGUGGGGGAGCAAACAGGAUUAGAUACCCUGGUAGUCCACGCCGUAAACGAUGAGUGCUAAGUGUUAGGGGGUUUCCGCCCCCUUAGUGCUGCAGCUAACGCAUUAAGCACUCCGCCCUGGGAGUACGGCCGCAAGGCUG